RNAcentral lists this ribosomal RNA (253 nucleotides) under uncultured bacterium. Its description in RNAcentral is "partial 16S ribosomal RNA". It matches the Rfam family "Bacterial small subunit ribosomal RNA", at positions 524 to 776 of the family's 1533-position model. The record is from RNAcentral.
GACGGAGGGUGCGAGCGUUAUUCGGAAUCAUUGGGCGUAAAGAGCGUGUAGGCGGCCGGUUAAGUCAGGUGUGAAAGCCCGGGGCUCAACCCCGGAAGUGCACUUGAUACUGGUCGGCUUGAGUUCGGGAGAGGGAAGCGGAAUUCCUGGUGUAGAGGUGAAAUUCGUAGAUAUCAGGAGGAACACCGGUGGCGAAGGCGGCUUCCUGGACCGAAACUGACGCUGAGACGCGAAAGCGUGGGGAGCAAACAGG